Molecule: ribosomal RNA, 298 nt
Filed under: uncultured Acidobacteriota bacterium
Lineage: Bacteria; Pseudomonadati; Acidobacteriota
Description: uncultured Acidobacteria bacterium partial 16S ribosomal RNA
Rfam family: Bacterial small subunit ribosomal RNA
Source: RNAcentral
GCUUACCAUGCAAGUCGAGUGCGACUUUGUAGCAGGAAACUGGCGCACGGCGCUUCGGUGCGUAACGAAAGAGGUAACCUGCCCUUUGGUGGGGAAUAACUCCGCGAAAGCGGUUCCAAUUCCGCAUAAGAUCCGCAAGGAUGAAAGCAGCAAUGCGCCGAAGGAGGGGCCCGCGCCCGAUUAGCUAGUUGGUGAGGUAAUGGCUCACCAAGGCUUUGAUCGGUAGCUGGUCUGAGAGGAUGAUCAGCCACACUGGAACUGAGACACGGUCCAGACUCCUACGGGAGGCAGCAGUGGG